UACAGAGGUCUCAACCGUUGUUCGGAUUUACUGGGCGUAAAGGGCGCGUAGGCGGCAAUUCAAGUCAGCUGUGAAAUCUCCGGGCUUAACUCGGAACGGUCAGCUGAUACUGCUUUGCUAGAGUGCAGAAGGGGCAAUCGGAAUUCUUGGUGUAGCGGUGAAAUGCGUAGAUAUCAAGAGGAACACCUGAGGUGAAGACGGGUUGCUGGGCUGACACUGACGCUGAGGCGCGAAAGCUAGGGUAGCAAACGGG
This 253-nucleotide ribosomal RNA is filed under the name uncultured bacterium. Its description in RNAcentral is "partial 16S ribosomal RNA". It matches the Rfam family "Bacterial small subunit ribosomal RNA", at positions 524 to 776 of the family's 1533-position model. The record is from RNAcentral.